Molecule: long non-coding RNA, 2464 nt
Filed under: Nicotiana tabacum (common tobacco)
Lineage: Eukaryota; Viridiplantae; Streptophyta; Magnoliopsida; Solanales; Solanaceae
Description: long non-coding RNA (NTAB_LNC007102)
Source: RNAcentral
AAAAAGAAGAUCACUCUUGACCCUCACAAGACUACUCUUAGUCUUAAAUGUUUUCACUCUUUGAAAAUAGACUUAGGACUCUUUCCUAACUCAAUUAUGCACUCCACACGUUUUUCUCUCAUACAAAAGCAUAAGGGUGCUGCCCAUUUUAUAAUAACAUGAGACAGCCUACUUUGCCCAUUUUUAGGCUUAGACACUUGCCCACUCAACCCACUACUUUAGCCUAGUGUAGUUGACAACCCCCAACUACUAGGAUCAUGUAAAUCAUGCUAAAGAAUAGUGGGAUCAUGGCCCCAAAAAUGUGCUAACACUCUUGCCAGCAUCUUAGCAAAGAUCAACCGCUGCCCAUGUGCACAACAUGUGUCGUAACCGUCCUUGACUUGGUCAACCCAAACCUUGUUGCCCAAUUUCGUGCCUUAGCUUGAACCAGGUGCCAAUGUCAUGUACUCAUCUGCAUUGUAGCCAUAAUUUGCCUAUGCCAUUGCCCACAAACUUGGCUCGUUUGCCGCAACUCAAUGCCAUGACAAGUCUGCCUGCACACUGCCUUCCCGUUGCACUUUGGCCUGCCUUUGCCACUUCAUUUUUGCCUUGCCUUGGCAUCAAUGACUCCUGCCUUGAUGCCUUUGCCAUGAUCAAGUGUCAUCCUCAGCCCGUAACUCAAUGUCAAGCCCUUGCCAAGCUGCCUUACCUCCAUCAAAGCUUUGUCCAUCACUUGCCCGUUUCCCUUUUUUGACUUGGUGCUACUCGUGCACCUGCCUUGCAACACUCUUGCUGCCUCAUAAUAGCGCUCUUGUUGUAAAGUCAAGCUCAAAGUGGCGGAGGUCUAACACUAGACUACCGAACAUAAGCAUAAUUAUUAGCUAUGUGCGAACUCUCGUCACUUCGUCCGUACGUAGCCCCCACAAAUAGAAGCACAUAUUAAUCAAUUCGCCUAUGAGGUUAAUUCCCUCUUACAAGGUUAGAAAAGAGAUUUAUCUCGUCUCAAAGCUUACUUUCCGGUCUCAAAUUCAUUCUAAAUCCUCAACUCGGUGCUGAACAAUCCAAAACUAGUCAAAUGGUAUAUAUAUUAAUCAAUACAUGUCCAAAAGUUCAUAUUCCAAUUAUUAAAGUUGUCACACUUCCUUUUUCCCAAGGGGAUAGGGAAUUGUUUUCAAUUAAAGUGACAUUAAUCAAAAUGGGAUUAUUUAUUUAAUUUCAGAGUUGCCACUUGGAAUACUUUAUGGUGUCCCUAGUCACCGGUUUAUUUUAAAUCCUAAAUCGAGGAAAUUGACUCUUAUUUAUGGUCUAUGAACACAGAAGACCGGGUAAGGAAUUUUGUUAACCCGAGAGAAGGUGUGAGGCACUCCCGAGUUUCAUGGUUUUAGCACGGUCGCUCAACUAUUAAUAAUUGGCUUAAUUAUCUUAUUUAUUACAUGUUUUAAACCUAUUGUGCAUUUUUAACUUUAUAACCGCUUUUAUUUAUUUAUGGAGUUUGUUUGAGCAAGUCGCGAUGUCGCACACUCAUUUGUUUUAUAUACAUUGCGAAUCGUGCCACGGGAACUGUACCCUCAAUCUACAACAUAUUUAUUUUUAUUAUUAUUUGGAACUAUAAGGUCGAGUCACGUGAAACACACACUCUAAUGGGAUUUAUGUAUCACGAUUAUGUCACGGGAACCAUACCAAUAAUCACGAUAAUAUUUUAUUAAUCGCGCCCAAAGCAAACUAAUGAAGAGGCACAUCGCGAUUGGGGACAUCUCGUCGACCAAUUACAACCGAAAUGGCAUCAGCCUUAGCAAACAAGAAUAAGCAAAAAUAAAAGGAAAACAACUUCCUAGAAACAAACCAAAUGUACAGAUGAAAAUUAAAUCUAUUAACUAUGGUAUCUCAUUUACAAAGAUAGUUAGGGUCAAAGCUUACUCGUGGUUAACCAACCCUCAACAGUAAUAUACAAUUACCAAAUUUUAUAAUUUCCACAACACAAAAAUACCCCAAAAGAUUCAAUCUUUGCAUGAAAUUACAACUACUUUCAAUUCAAGAACACAAAAUACCAACUCAUACUACUAAGUAAGUAAAUUAAGAAGCUACACAAAAUCUUUCACAAAAAUUAUUCGGAGCCCAAUUGAAAUUGCACUCAACUAAUACAAGACACAAAAAAUUACAACAAAUAAAGGUUAAGAAUCUUUCUUGUGGGGACCCAAGAGCAGAAAUCAAGAAAAUUCUUACCUUAAAUCUUUUUCAUUUUUUCCCUGUCUUUGUUCGAUCUCACCCCUUUUUCCUUCUCAUUUUUUUUCGGUCCAGAUUCCCCUCCACUGUAUCUCGUCACUCUCUAUCUCUUUUCCCUGUUUUGUGUGUGUGUAUUUCGAUUGUGGUGUGAGGUUAGCCGGAUUUUGUAAGGUGGAGUUAUGAUUUUUUGCAAAUCGGAUUUUCGAGGAGGGGAAAAACGGUUGGCUCCUCUUGAAUAAGAGAAAUGAGAUAUAAAAAGAUG